AUUGAACGCUGGCGGCAGGCCUAACACAUGCAAGUCGAGCGAGCGGCGGACGGGUGUGUAAUGUCUGGGAAACUGCCUGAUGGAGGGGGAGAACUACUGGAAACGGUAGCUAUUACCGCAUAUGACCAGAUGUGCCAAGAUGGGAGUAGCUAGUAGGUGGGGUAAUGGCUCACCUAGGCGACGAUCCCUAGCUGUUGUGAGAGGAUGACCAGCCACACGGGAACUGAGACACGGUCCAGACUCCUACGGGAGGCAGCAGUGGGGAAUAUUGCACAAGGGGCGCAAGCCUGAUGCAGCCAUGCCGCGUGUAUGAAGAAGGCCUUCGGGUUGUAAAGUACUUUCAGCGAGGAGGCGUUACUCGCAGAAGAAGCACCGGCUAACUCCGUGCCAGCAGCCGCGGUAAUUC
RNAcentral lists this ribosomal RNA (406 nucleotides) under uncultured bacterium. Its description in RNAcentral is "partial 16S ribosomal RNA". It matches the Rfam family "Bacterial small subunit ribosomal RNA", at positions 30 to 526 of the family's 1533-position model. The record is from RNAcentral.